Bison bison bison is the source of this 54-nucleotide unclassified non-coding RNA. The record is from Ensembl. Lineage: Eukaryota; Metazoa; Chordata; Mammalia; Artiodactyla; Bovidae.
AUAAUUAAAGAAUGUUACCUUUGAUGUCUCUUGAAAGCUGCAUCUCCUGCUCUG